RNAcentral lists this long non-coding RNA (434 nucleotides) under Gossypium barbadense (sea-island cotton). RNAcentral describes it as "long non-coding RNA (GBAR_LNC016930)". Lineage: Eukaryota; Viridiplantae; Streptophyta; Magnoliopsida; Malvales; Malvaceae. The record is from RNAcentral.
CUUGAUGUUGGUAGAGUGAUGAUAGGUAAUUUGGGUCCACAUUCUCCUUGUUAUGAAAAUCGUCCUUGCACUGACCAGACACUUUCGAAGAUGAUUUCCGCCCCUUUCCAUUAACUUUUUCAUGGUUAAGGUUGUAUUCGCUCAACACAUCAUCUUCCUUCUCUCUUUUUCGUUUACAUUCCAUUUGAGUUCCCAAUGCCGAGAGAAAUAAGUUGUGAUUAGGCACCUUCCGGUCAGCAUCUUUUUUCUUGUUUAAGAUUGUAGAUUCCAGUGAUAACUUUUGGCUAAUGCCAUGUUUUCUUUUAUUGCUAGGACUAAGCUCCAGAGCACCAUGGUUUGAUGCUAGGUCCAAUCCUUGAACUUCCACCUGCAAUCAAAAGAAGUAUGAAGAAUAACGAAUCCAAAACAAACAACAUAAAAAUCAAAUAAAUCAA